AGCUGUUGCGGAACGGACCUACAGCA
This 26-nucleotide small RNA is filed under the name Bombyx mori (domestic silkworm). RNAcentral describes it as "ovarian small RNA-12150". The record is from RNAcentral. Lineage: Eukaryota; Metazoa; Arthropoda; Insecta; Lepidoptera; Bombycidae.